RNAcentral lists this ribosomal RNA (492 nucleotides) under uncultured bacterium. RNAcentral's name for it is "partial 16S ribosomal RNA". It matches the Rfam family "Bacterial small subunit ribosomal RNA", at positions 29 to 507 of the family's 1533-position model. The record is from RNAcentral.
AGUGAACGCUGGCGGUAGGCCUAACACAUGCCAGUCGAACGGCAGCACAGUAAGAGCUUGCUCUUACGGGUGGCGAGUGGCGGACGGGUGAGGAAUACAUCGGAAUCUACUUUUUCGUGGGGGAUAACGUAGGGAAACUUACGCUAAUACCGCAUACGACCUACGGGUGAAAGCAGGGGAUCUUCGGACCUUGCGCGAUUGAAUGAGCCGAUGUCGGAUUAGCUAGUUGGCGGGGUAAAGGCCCACCAAGGCGACGAUCCGUAGCUGGUCUGAGAGGAUGAUCAGCCAAACUGGAACGGAGACACGGUCCAGACUCCUACGGGAGGCAGCAGUGGGGAAUAUUGGACAAUGGGCGCAAGCCUGAUCCAGCCAUACCGCGUGGGUGAAGAAGGCCUUCGGGUUGUAAAGCCCUUUUGUUGGGAAAGAAAAGCAGCAGGUUAAUACCCCGCUGUUCUGACGGUACCCAAAGAAUAAGCACCGGCUAACUUCGUG